This 495-nucleotide ribosomal RNA is filed under the name Arthrobacter sp. BL15. Its description in RNAcentral is "bacterial SSU rRNA". It matches the Rfam family "Bacterial small subunit ribosomal RNA", at positions 78 to 585 of the family's 1533-position model. Lineage: Bacteria; Bacillati; Actinomycetota; Actinomycetes; Micrococcales; Micrococcaceae. The record is from RNAcentral.
GCUUGCUGGGGGGAUUAGUGGCGAACGGGUGAGUAACACGUGAGUAACCUGCCCUUGACUCUGGGAUAAGCCUGGGAAACUGGGUCUAAUACCGGAUAUGACUCCUCAUCGCAUGGUGGGGGGUGGAAAGCUUUUGUGGUUUUGGAUGGACUCGCGGCCUAUCAGCUUGUUGGUGGGGUAAUGGCCUACCAAGGCGACGACGGGUAGCCGGCCUGAGAGGGUGACCGGCCACACUGGGACUGAGACACGGCCCAGACUCCUACGGGAGGCAGCAGUGGGGAAUAUUGCACAAUGGGCGAAAGCCUGAUGCAGCGACGCCGCGUGAGGGAUGACGGCCUUCGGGUUGUAAACCUCUUUCAGUAGGGAAGAAGCCGCGAGGUGACGGUACCUGCAGAAGAAGCGCCGGCUAACUACGUGCCAGCAGCCGCGGUAAUACGUAGGGCGCAAGCGUUAUCCGGAAUUAUUGGGCGUAAAGAGCUCCUACGCGGUUUGUCG